Molecule: ribosomal RNA, 786 nt
Filed under: Microbacterium sp. R38E1
Lineage: Bacteria; Bacillati; Actinomycetota; Actinomycetes; Micrococcales; Microbacteriaceae
Description: bacterial SSU rRNA
Rfam family: Bacterial small subunit ribosomal RNA
Source: RNAcentral
UACGGUGAACAAGCUUGCUCUGUGGAUCAGUGGCGAACGGGUGAGUAACACGUGAGCAACCUGCCCUGGACUCUGGGAUAAGCGCUGGAAACGGCGUCUAAUACUGGAUACGAGACGUGGCCGCAUGGUCAACGUUUGGAAAGAUUUUUUGGUUCAGGAUGGGCUCGCGGCCUAUCAGCUUGUUGGUGAGGUAAUGGCUCACCAAGGCGUCGACGGGUAGCCGGCCUGAGAGGGUGACCGGCCACACUGGGACUGAGACACGGCCCAGACUCCUACGGGAGGCAGCAGUGGGGAAUAUUGCACAAUGGGCGAAAGCCUGAUGCAGCAACGCCGCGUGAGGGAUGACGGCCUUCGGGUUGUAAACCUCUUUUAGCAAGGAAGAAGCGAAAGUGACGGUACUUGCAGAAAAAGCGCCGGCUAACUACGUGCCAGCAGCCGCGGUAAUACGUAGGGCGCAAGCGUUAUCCGGAAUUAUUGGGCGUAAAGAGCUCGUAGGCGGUUUGUCGCGUCUGCUGUGAAAACUGGAGGCUCAACCUCCAGCCUGCAGUGGGUACGGGCAGACUAGAGUGCGGUAGGGGAGAUUGGAAUUCCUGGUGUAGCGGUGGAAUGCGCAGAUAUCAGGAGGAACACCGAUGGCGAAGGCAGAUCUCUGGGCCGUAACUGACGCUGAGGAGCGAAAGGGUGGGGAGCAAACAGGCUUAGAUACCCUGGUAGUCCACCCCGUAAACGUUGGGAACUAGUUGUGGGGACCAUUCCACGGUUUCCGUGACGCAGCUAACGCAAAAG